UCCUGAAAUCAUUGGUGCACUAUAUGCUAACUAAUUGAGAUGUAAAUUUUAAAAAAUAAAAAAAUAAAAAAAAAGAAGUGAUAUUUUGACCCAAUACUUCCAGGGAAUUCAGCAAAUUAAUUGAAACAUCAGUUUUUAGUCAGAGUAUAUCAUAUGGCACACAUUUGUAUCGUAUACCACGUUUGGAUGAGGCCAAAAUGUUUGGCCUUGCAUCCGUAGACUUAUCGGCUUUUCUCUGUUGUCCGUGUGCAUUGCUUCCAUGUUUCUAAAACACUCUUCUGCUUAGUCUUUAUUUUGUCCUGGAGUGUUUUUGUCUGUGCUGUAACAUUACUUUUAAGGCACUUUAAAUGCAGGAUGACCAUGAGCCCAAGCAGGUUGAAAAAGUGAACAGAAUGGUAGAGAAAGAAUGCCUCUUCCAAAGAAUGACUCCCUUUCACCGUUCCUCCGGCAUUGACCGCUGCUAUCGAAUCUUCUUCCAUUGACAAGAGCAGGAAAGUUUCAGGAUCUGACAUUGAAUAAUGCUGCAGCAAGCAUGUACACGCAAAUAUCUCCUCAAGAUCUUUUUUCCAUUAUUUUGGGCAUAUAACCAGAAGUGGGACUGCUGGAUCAUAUGACCUGCGCGGGAAUUUUUCUCGGUGGGAUUGCUCAGUGAUGGGCCAUCCACAUAGUUAGUUUUACGACGGGUUGCCAAAUUGCUUUCAAGGUGCAUGUCCUCAGCCAAGAUUCAUCGAGCACGAACCUCCUGCCAGGUGCUAUUCUAUCCACAGAGGAUUUAGCCGUGAACGGAGUCCUUGCCUUCAGCGAGCUUACGGUCAAAUGAGGGAGACAGCAAUGAACUCUUAAGUGCACAAUGAAAAACCACGCAGUGAAAAGUGCCGUGAAGACACUGAAACGGGUUUUGUGAACAGCUCUGGGGACCUGAUGGCCGUCAUCCAUCUUCCUCACCAUUAGAAAGCGCACCCACAGUAUGGUCCCUGCAGAAGGGGGAGCUUCCUCAAGGACUGAGGAGGCACUCAGAAAAUAAGCUGGACCAACGUGCAUCCUUUGCUUCCCGGGAGCUUAAAGAGAACAGCAUUUUGGCGAGGUGUUCGAGCUAAAUGCCCAAACGAUCAGCUAAUUACUUGGGUCUGAGCACAGCUGAACAAAUCCACCUUUCCAAGUCACCGCCAGAAGUUCGAGCAACUUCAUUCUGGCUGGAUUUCAGCACUGCACACCAAGAACCAGAUGACCGGGGCCAGGAGGGACAUUUCUCACUUACCUGCUUCCUUCUGUUAAAGAAAAAAAAAAAAAAUACUACAGUGUAAUCAGUUCUCCUGCCUACCGAUCUGGUGAGGGAUGGAGACAAUAUGAAGCACAUUCGGCCUCACUAGAAAUCACAACCAUGCAAUUAUAAACAGAAAUGAGAGACCGCUCUUUAUCCGCCAGGCUGGCAAGCGUUAAAAAGAUAGAAGGAUCAACGAUAUCUAGAGUUGGGGAGAGCAGGGGGAAUUGGGGACCGCUGGACACUCUCGGUGGGAGUUUUCAUUGGCAAAGCCAUUUCGGAGGCAAUUUGGCAGCUUCCAGCGACAUUUAAAACGGUCCUAGUCUUUGGCCCGGCAAAGUCCUCUUCUAAGCCAGCCUGAGAAACUACCUUGUAGAUAUGUCUGCACAUGUGUACCCAGAUAUAUACAUAUCUAGCUAUAGCUAGCUAGCUAGCUAGAGUGAAGAAUGCAAUCAAUCUAAAUGCCCAUCCAUAGGAGUGUUGUUAAAUAAAUAAAUCAUGGCAUGCCUGUA
Molecule: long non-coding RNA, 1773 nt
Organism: Herpailurus yagouaroundi (jaguarundi)
Lineage: Eukaryota; Metazoa; Chordata; Mammalia; Carnivora; Felidae
Exons: 4
Source: RefSeq, a predicted model, not a curated record